AGUUCCAGGUCCUCUUCAACGACUUAAG
Molecule: small RNA, 28 nt
Filed under: Arabidopsis thaliana (thale cress)
Lineage: Eukaryota; Viridiplantae; Streptophyta; Magnoliopsida; Brassicales; Brassicaceae
Description: ATSL066660
Source: RNAcentral